Molecule: non-coding RNA, 45 nt
Filed under: Schistosoma curassoni
Lineage: Eukaryota; Metazoa; Platyhelminthes; Trematoda; Strigeidida; Schistosomatidae
Source: RNAcentral
AUCCAGCUGACGAGUCCCUAUUAGGACGGAACGUAUGUCAUGGAU